This 89-nucleotide non-coding RNA is filed under the name uncultured Bifidobacterium sp. RNAcentral describes it as "TPP riboswitch (THI element)". It matches the Rfam family "TPP riboswitch aptamer (THI element)", at positions 8 to 91 of the family's 105-position model. Rfam says of the family: Vitamin B(1) in its active form thiamin pyrophosphate (TPP) is an essential coenzyme that is synthesised by coupling of pyrimidine and thiazole moieties in bacteria. Lineage: Bacteria; Bacillati; Actinomycetota; Actinomycetes; Bifidobacteriales; Bifidobacteriaceae. The record is from RNAcentral.
UAGCACAGGGGGAGCCGAUAUGUGGCUGAGACGGGCUUUGCCUGGACCCUCAUACCUGAUCAGGGUAAUGCCUGCGUAGGAAUGUCACG